UUUGAAGGGACGUAUUUAUUAGAUUUAUGGCCAGCCGGGCUAGCCCGACCAGCGGUGAAUCAUGGUAACUUGACGGAUUGCAUGGCCUUUGUGCCGGCGACAUGUCAUUCAAGUUUCUGCCCCAUCAGGUUUCGACUGUAGUGUAUUGGACUACAGUGCCGAUAACGGGUAGCGGAGGAUUAGGGUUCGAUUCCGGAGAGGGAGCCUGAGAAACGGCUACCACAUCCAAGGAAGGCAGCAGGCGCGCAAAUUACCCCAAUCCCAACUCAGGGAGGUAGUGACAAGAAAUAACAAUGCGGGGCCACUAGCUCUGCAAUUGAAAUGAGUACAAUUUAAACCACUUAACGAGUACCAAUUGGAGGGCAAGUCUGGUGCCAGCAGCCGCGGUAAUUCCAGCUCCAAUAGCGUAUAUGUAAGUUGUUGCGAUUAAAAAGCCCGUAGCUGAAUCUCGGGCAGCCCUGAUGGUCCGCAAUCGUGAGUACUGUCGUGGGCUGUCUUUCUGGUAAGUCCUGUAUCCCGGCGUUUACUCGCCGAGAACAGAGCUUACCAAGGUUACUUUGAGUAAAAUAGAGUGUUCAAAGCAAGCGUGCGCUCUGAAUACACUAGCAUGGGAUAACACGACAUGACCGAUGGUCUAUCUUGUUGGCCUAUAGACCUGUUGGUAAUGGCUAAUAGGGACGGUCGGGGGCAUUCGUAUUUCGCUGUCAGAGGUGAAAUUCUUGGAUUUGCGAAAGACGAACUACUGCGAAAGCAUUUGCCAAGGACGCUUUCAUUAGUCAAGGACGAAAGUCGGGGGAUCGAAGACGAUUAGAUACCGUCGUAGUCUCGACCAUAAACGAUGCCAAUUAGGGAUUGGAGGGUGGAUUCAAUAUGCCUCCUCCAGCACCUUCCGCGAAAGCAAAAUUUAUGGGCUUCGGGGGGAGUAUGGUCGCAAGGCUGAAACUUAAAGGAAUUGACGGAACGGCACCACCAGGCGUGGAGCCUGCGGCUUAAUUUGACUCAACACGGGAAAACUUACCAGGUCCAGACAGAAGUAGGAUUUACAGAUUGACAGCUCUUUAAAGAUUUUUUGGAUGGUGGUGCAUGGCCGUUCUUAGUUCGUGGAUUGAUUUGUCAGGUUGAUUCCGGUAACGGACGAGACCCCAACCUACUAACUAGCUCUUGUUGAUUCUCAGCAAGCCAGCUUCUUAGAGGGACUCUCGGAAAGAAACCGAAGGAGGUGGGGCAAUAACAGGUCUGUGAUGCCCUUAGAUGUCCUGGGCCGCACGCGCGCUACACUGAUGCACUCAACGAGCCUACCCUGUGCCGAGAGGUAUGGGUAAUCUGCGAAACUGCAUCGUGAUGGGGCUAGAUUAUUGCAAUUAUUGAUCUUCAACGAGGAAUGCCUAGUAAGUGCGAGUCAUCAACUCGCGUUGAUUACGUCCCUGCCGUUUGUACACACCGCCCGUCGCUCCUACCGAUUGGGUGUGCUGGUGAAGUGCUCGGAUUGGACGCCUUACCAUUUUUGGGAGGCGUCUGAGAAGUUCAUUGAACCCUCUC
RNAcentral lists this ribosomal RNA (1539 nucleotides) under Pseudorhizoclonium africanum. RNAcentral describes it as "SSU rRNA". It matches the Rfam family "Eukaryotic small subunit ribosomal RNA", at positions 192 to 1770 of the family's 1831-position model. Lineage: Eukaryota; Viridiplantae; Chlorophyta; Ulvophyceae; Cladophorales; Cladophoraceae. The record is from RNAcentral.